This 305-nucleotide ribosomal RNA is filed under the name uncultured bacterium. RNAcentral's name for it is "bacterial SSU rRNA". It matches the Rfam family "Bacterial small subunit ribosomal RNA", at positions 335 to 655 of the family's 1533-position model. The record is from RNAcentral.
UCGCCUACGGGGCGCAGCAGUUAGGAAUAUUGGGCAAUGGAGGAAACUCUGACCCAGCAACGCCGCGUGAAGGAAGAAGGUUUUCGGAUUGUAAACUUCUGAUCUGUGGGACGAAGAAAGUGACGGUACCACAGGAGAAAGCCACGGCUAACUACGUGCCAGCAGCCGCGGUAAUACGUAGGAUGCGAGCGUUAUCCGGAUUUAUUGGGUUUAAAGGGUGCGUAGGCGGAAUGCCAAGUCAGCGGUAAAAUCGCGGGGCUCAACCUCGCUCCGCCGUUGAAACUGGCGUUCUUGAGUGGGCGAGA